GUAAGGAAUAUUGGGCAAUGGAGGCAACUCUGACCCAGCCAUGCCGCGUGAAGGAUGACGGCCCUCGUGGUUGUAAACUUCUUUUGUACGGGAAUAACCCUCCGAACGUGUUCGGAGCUGAAGGUACCGUAAGAAUAAGGAUCGGCUAACUCCGUGCCAGCAGCCGCGGUAAUACGGAGGAUCCAAGCGUUAUCCGGAUUUACUGGGUUUAAAGGGUGCGUAGGCGGAUUGAUAAGUCAGUGGUGAAAGCCUACAGCUUAACUGUAGAACUGCCAUUGAUACUGCCAGUCUGGAGUAUGGUUGAGGUAGCUGGAAUGUGUCAUGUAGCGGUGAAAUGCUUAGAGAUGACACAGAACACCAACGGCGAAGGCAGGUUACCAACCCAUUACUGACGCUGAGGCACGAAAGCGUGGGGAUCAAACAGGAUUAGAAACCCGGGUAGUCC
This 445-nucleotide ribosomal RNA is filed under the name uncultured bacterium. Its description in RNAcentral is "partial 16S ribosomal RNA". It matches the Rfam family "Bacterial small subunit ribosomal RNA", at positions 354 to 796 of the family's 1533-position model. The record is from RNAcentral.